RNAcentral lists this ribosomal RNA (508 nucleotides) under uncultured Glomus. RNAcentral describes it as "SSU rRNA". It matches the Rfam family "Eukaryotic small subunit ribosomal RNA", at positions 569 to 1081 of the family's 1831-position model. Lineage: Eukaryota; Fungi; Glomeromycota; Glomeromycetes; Glomerales; Glomeraceae. The record is from RNAcentral.
AGCAGCCGCGGUAAUUCCAGCUCCAAUAGCGUAUAUUAAAGUUGUUGCAGUUAAAAAGCUCGUAGUUGAAUUUCGGGACUAAUAUGUCGGUCGUACUUUGUACGUACUAGCAUUAUUGGUUUCUCCCUUCUGACGAACCACGAUGUCAUUAAUUUGGUGUCAUGGGAAAUCAGGACUGUUACUUUGAAAAAAUUAGAGUGUUUAAAGCAAGCUCGCGCUUGAAUACAUUAGCAUGGAAUAAUGAAAUAGGACGUUUGAUUCUAUUUUGUUGGUUUCUAGGAUCGACGUAAUGAUUAAUAGGGAUAGUUGGGGGCAUUAGUAUUCAAUUGUCAGAGGUGAAAUUCUUGGAUUUAUUGAAGACUAACUACUGCGAAAGCAUUUGCCAAGGAUGUUUUCAUUAAUCAAGAACGAAAGUUAGGGGAUCGAAGACGAUCAGAUACCGUCGUAGUCUUAACCAUAAACUAUGCCGACUAGGGAUCGGAUGAUGUUAAUUUUUAAUGACUCAUUC